GCAGAUCUUGUGCCAGAGAACGAAACUUCUGGGUAUAUUUUUAUUCACGCCGAGGGAGGAUUGAACCAGCAACGAAUAGCUAUAUGUAAUGUUGUUGCAAUUGCUAAGAUAAUGAACGCCACACUUAUUUUGCCUGUGCUGAAGCAGGAUCAAAUAUGUAAAGAUCAAACGAAAUUUGAAGAUAUCUUCGAUGUAGAUCAUUUUAUAAAUUAUUUGAAGGAUGAUGUCCUCAUCUUUCGAGAUAUUCCUGACUGGUUCACAGAAAAAGAUGAGUUGUUCACCAGUAUAAGGCGUACUGUAAAAAAUAUCCCAAAAUAUGCACCAGCACAGUUUUAUGUUGAUAAUGUCCUUCCAAAGAUCAAAGAGAAAAAGAUAAUGUCUAUCAAACCAUUCGUUAAUAGAUUGGGGUAUGAUAAUGUUCCAAUGGAGAUUAACCGGCUCAGAUGCAGAGUUAAUUAUCACGCCUUAAAGUUUCUACCUGGCAUUGAAGAAAUGGCUGACAAACUGGCAACAAGGAUGCGGAAUCGAACUGGGAGUGUAAAUCCAUACAUGGCUCUUCAUCUUAGGUUCGAGAAAGGAAUGGUGGGUUUAUCCUUUUGUGAUUUUGCUGGAACCAGAGAGGAGAAAGCAAUGACGGCUGAAUAUAGAAAGAAACAAUGGCCAAGAUGCUUCAAGAAUGGAUCUCACCUUUGGUCUUUAGCACUGGAAAAGAGAAAAGAAGGCCGCUGCCCGCUUGAGCCUGGGGAAAUAGGUUUCAUUCUGCGUGCAAUGGGAUAUACGAAGGAGACUCAGAUAUAUGUUGCAUCAGGGCAAGUGUACGGUGGAAACAAUAGAAUGGCGCCGCUGAGGAAUAUGUUCCCCAAUUUGGUUACCAAAGAAGAUCUCGCAAGCAAGGAGAUAGAGCAUUUCAAGAAGCAUGUAACUAGCCUCGCUGCACUGGACUUCCUGGUAUGCCUGAAGUCAGAUAUGCUCGUCAUCACCCAUGGUGGCAACUUUGCGAAGCUGAUCAUUGGCUUCCGGCGCUAUAUGGGGCGGCAUAGGCUCAAGUCUAUCAAGCCGGACAAGGGGCUCAUGUCGAAGUUCUUCGGCGACCCAUACAUGCCAUGGGCGAAUUUCGUGGAGGAUGUGAUGAUCACUCACCAGACACGAACAGGCCUCCCCGAGGCCACCUUCCCGCACUAUGACCUCUGGGAGAACCCUCUCUCCCAUUGCAUGUGUAGAGCAUAA
RNAcentral lists this ribosomal RNA (1227 nucleotides) under Triticum aestivum (bread wheat). Its description in RNAcentral is "partial small subunit ribosomal RNA". The record is from RNAcentral. Lineage: Eukaryota; Viridiplantae; Streptophyta; Magnoliopsida; Poales; Poaceae.